GUGCUUGCUUUGGCAGCACAUAUACUAAAAUUGGAAUGGUACAGGGAAGAUUAGCGUGUCCCCUGCACAGGGAUGACACACAAAUUUGCAAAGCAUUCCAUAUUUAU
Molecule: small nuclear RNA, 107 nt
Organism: Zalophus californianus (California sea lion)
Lineage: Eukaryota; Metazoa; Chordata; Mammalia; Carnivora; Otariidae
Source: Ensembl